GUACACUCCUGCGGGAGGCAGCAGUGGGGAAUUUUGGACAAUGGGCGAAAGCCUGAUCCAGCAAUGCCGCGUGUGUGAAGAAGGCCUUCGGGUUGUAAAGCACUUUUGUCCGGAAAGAAAUCCUUGGCUCUAAUACAGUCGGGGGAUGACGGUACCGGAAGAAUAAGCACCGGCUAACUACGUGCCAGCAGCCGCGGUAAUACGUAGGGUGCGAGCGUUAAUCGGAAUUACUGGGCGUAAAGCGUGCGCAGGCGGUUUGCUAAGACCGAUGUGAAAUCCCCGGGCUCAACCUGGGAACUGCAUUGGUGACUGGCAGGCUAGAGUAUGGCAGAGGGGGGUAGAAUUCCACGUGUAGCAGUGAAAUGCGUAGAGAUGUGGAGGAAUACCGAUGGCGAAGGCAGCCCCCUGGGCCAAUACUGACGCUCAUGCACGAAAGCGUGGGGAGCAAACAGGAUUAGAUACCCUUGUAGUCCCAU
RNAcentral lists this ribosomal RNA (476 nucleotides) under uncultured organism. RNAcentral describes it as "partial 16S ribosomal RNA". It matches the Rfam family "Bacterial small subunit ribosomal RNA", at positions 331 to 798 of the family's 1533-position model. The record is from RNAcentral.